UUUUCAGUACAAGUAGGUCUUGUGCAAUAUUUGGGACCUAUUUAUACUAAAA
RNAcentral lists this microRNA precursor (52 nucleotides) under Heterocephalus glaber (naked mole-rat). RNAcentral's name for it is "mir-1302 microRNA precursor family". It matches the Rfam family "mir-1302 microRNA precursor family". Lineage: Eukaryota; Metazoa; Chordata; Mammalia; Rodentia; Bathyergidae. The record is from Rfam by way of RNAcentral.